CCUACGGGGGGCUGCAGUGGGGAAUAUUGGACAAUGGGGGCAACCCUGAUCCAGCCAUGCCGCGUGUGUGAAGAAGGCCCUCGGGUUGUAAAGCACUUUCAGUGAGGAAGAACGCCUGGUGGUUAAUACCCAUCAGGAAAGACAUCACUCACAGAAGAAGCACCGGCUAACUCCGUGCCAGCAGCCGCGGUAAUACGGAGGGUGCGAGCGUUAAUCGGAAUUACUGGGCGUAAAGCGCGCGUAGGUGGCUUGAUAAGCCGGUUGUGAAAGCCCCGGGCUCAACCUGGGAACGGCAUCCGGAACUGUCAAGCUAGAGUGCAGGAGAGGAAGGUAGAAUUCCCGGUGUAGCGGUGAAAUGCGUAGAGAUCGGGAGGAAUACCAGUGGCGAAGGCGGCCUUCUGGACUGACACUGACACUGAGGUGCGAAAGCGUGGGUAGCAAACAGGAUUAGAGACCCUAGUAGUC
RNAcentral lists this ribosomal RNA (465 nucleotides) under Vreelandella stevensii. RNAcentral's name for it is "partial 16S ribosomal RNA". It matches the Rfam family "Bacterial small subunit ribosomal RNA", at positions 338 to 795 of the family's 1533-position model. The record is from RNAcentral. Lineage: Bacteria; Pseudomonadati; Pseudomonadota; Gammaproteobacteria; Oceanospirillales; Halomonadaceae.